This 73-nucleotide transfer RNA is filed under the name Camelus bactrianus (Bactrian camel). It matches the Rfam family "tRNA". Rfam says of the family: Transfer RNA (tRNA) molecules are approximately 80 nucleotides in length. Their secondary structure includes four short double-helical elements and three loops (D, anti-codon, and T loops). Lineage: Eukaryota; Metazoa; Chordata; Mammalia; Artiodactyla; Camelidae. The record is from Rfam by way of RNAcentral. RNAcentral also lists the same sequence under 2 other names.
GAGGGUAUAGCUCAAGUGGUAGAGCACAUGCUUAGCAUGCACGAGAUCGUGGGUUCAAUCCCCAGUACCUCCA